RNAcentral lists this ribosomal RNA (515 nucleotides) under uncultured bacterium. RNAcentral's name for it is "partial 16S ribosomal RNA". It matches the Rfam family "Bacterial small subunit ribosomal RNA", at positions 28 to 523 of the family's 1533-position model. The record is from RNAcentral.
GAUGAACGCUGGCGGCGUGCCUAAUACAUGCAAGUCGAGCGAAUGGAUUAAGAGCUUGCUCUUAUGAAGUUAGCGGCGGACGGGUGAGUAACACGUGGGUAACCUGCCCAUAAGACUGGGAUAACUCCGGGAAACCGGGGCUAAUACCGGAUAACAUUUUGAACCGCAUGGUUCGAAAUUGAAAGGCGGCUUCGGCUGUCACUUAUGGAUGGACCCGCGUCGCAUUAGCUAGUUGGUGAGGUAACGGCUCACCAAGGCAACGAUGCGUAGCCGACAUGGGAGGGUGAUCGGCCACACUGGGACUGAGACACGGCCCAGAUUCCUACGGGAGGCAGCAGUAGCGAAUCUUCCGCAAUGGACGAAAGUCUGACGGAGCACCGCCGCGUGAGUGAUGAAGGCUCUCGGGUCGUAAAACUCUGUUGUUAGGGAAGAACAAGUGCUAGUUGAAUAAGCUGGCACCUUGACGGUACCUAACCAGAAAGCCACGGCUAACUACGUGCCAGCAGCCGCCGUAA